AUUGAACGCUGGCGGCAGGCUUAACACAUGCAAGUCGAGCGGGGUGAUGGUGCUUGCACUAUCACUUAGCGGCGGCCGGGUGAGUAAUGCUUAGGAAUCUGCCUAUUAGUGGGGGACAACAUCCCGAAAGGGAUGCUAAUACCGCAUACGUCCUACGGGAGAAAGCAGGGGAUCACUUGUGACCUUGCGCUAAUAGAUGAGCCUAAGUCGGAUUAGCUAGUUGGUGGGGUAAAGGCCUACCAAGGCGACGAUCUGUAGCGGGUCUGAGAGGAUGAUCCGCCACACUGGGACUGAGACACGGCCCAGACUCCUACGGGAGGCAGCAGUGGGGAAUAUUGGACAAUGGGGGGAACCCUGAUCCAGCCAUGCCGCGUGUGUGAAGAAGGCCUUAUGGUUGUAAAGCACUUUAAGCGAGGAGGAGGCUCCUUUGGUUAAUACCCAAGAUGAGUGGACGUUACUCGCAGAAUAAGCACCGGCUAACUCUGUGCCAGCCGCCGCCGUAA
Molecule: ribosomal RNA, 503 nt
Filed under: uncultured bacterium
Lineage: Bacteria
Description: partial 16S ribosomal RNA
Rfam family: Bacterial small subunit ribosomal RNA
Source: RNAcentral